GCCGGGUGCAGUGGCGUGCGCCUGUAAUCCAAGUUGCUGGGAGGCUUAGGCUGGCGGAUCGUUUGAGCUCAGGAGUUCUGAGCUCCAGUGGACUAUGCCGAUCGGGUGUCCGCACUAAGUUCGGUAUCGAUAUGGUGCUCCUGGGGGAGCCCGGGACCACCAGGUCGUCUAAGGAGGGGUGCACCGGCCCAGGUCGGAAACGGAGCAGGCCAAAGCCCCCGUGCCGCUCAGUAGUGGGAUCGCGCCUGUGAAUAGACGCUGUGGUGCAGCCUGAGCAAUAUAGCGGGACACAGUCUUUU
This is an unclassified non-coding RNA of Oncorhynchus mykiss (rainbow trout), 299 nucleotides long. It matches the Rfam family "Metazoan signal recognition particle RNA". Rfam says of the family: The signal recognition particle (SRP) is a universally conserved ribonucleoprotein. It is involved in the co-translational targeting of proteins to membranes. The record is from Ensembl. Lineage: Eukaryota; Metazoa; Chordata; Actinopteri; Salmoniformes; Salmonidae.